CUACGGGUUGCUGCAGUGGGGAAUAUUGCACAAUGGGGGAAACCCUGAUGCAGCGACGCCGCGUGAGUGAAGAAGUAUUUCGGUAUGUAAAGCUCUAUCAGCAGGGAAGAAAAUGACGGUACCUGACUAAGAAGCCCCGGCUAACUACGUGCCAGCAGCCGCGGUAAUACGUAGGGGGCAAGCGUUAUCCGGAUUUACUGGGUGUAAAGGGAGCGUAGACGGUGAGACAAGUCUGAAGUGAAAUCCCGGGGCUCAACCCCGGAACUGCUUUGGAAACUGCCUGACUGGAGUGCAGGAGAGGUAAGUGGAAUUCCUAGUGUAGCGGUGAAAUGCGUAGAUAUUAGGAGGAACACCAGUGGCGAAGGCGGCUUACUGGACUGUAACUGACGUUGAGGCUCGAAAGCGUGGGGAGCAAACAGGAUUAGAUACCCUGGUAGUC
RNAcentral lists this ribosomal RNA (439 nucleotides) under uncultured bacterium. Its description in RNAcentral is "partial 16S ribosomal RNA". It matches the Rfam family "Bacterial small subunit ribosomal RNA", at positions 339 to 795 of the family's 1533-position model. The record is from RNAcentral.